Molecule: transfer RNA, 67 nt
Filed under: Cyphoderris monstrosa
Lineage: Eukaryota; Metazoa; Arthropoda; Insecta; Orthoptera; Prophalangopsidae
Description: tRNA-Trp
Source: RNAcentral
AAGGCUUUAAGUUAAAAAAAACUAAUAGCCUUCAAAGCUGCAAAUAAAAAAUGAAUUUUAAGCCUUA